This 449-nucleotide ribosomal RNA is filed under the name uncultured soil bacterium. RNAcentral's name for it is "bacterial SSU rRNA". It matches the Rfam family "Bacterial small subunit ribosomal RNA", at positions 26 to 518 of the family's 1533-position model. The record is from RNAcentral.
AGAACGAACGCUGGCGGCAGGCUUAACACAUGCAAGUCGAACGGUUGUAGCAAUACAGUAGUGGCAGACGGGUGGGUAACACGUGGGAACCUUCCUAGGGGUACGGAACAACUCAGGGAAACUUGAGCUAAUACCGUAUACGUCCGUAAGGAGAAAGAUUCAUCGCCCCUAGACGGGCCCGCGUAGGAUUAGGUAGUUGGUGAGGUAACGGCUCACCAAGCCUACGAUCCUUAGCUGAUCUGAGAGGAUGUUCAGCCACACUGGGACUGAGACACGGCCCAGACUCCUACGGGAGGCAGCAGUGGGGAAUCUUGGACAAUGGGCGCAAGCCUGAUCCAGCCAUGCCGCGUGAGUGAAGAAGGCCUUCGGGUUGUAAAGCUCUUUUACCGAGGACGAUAAUGACGGUACCUGGAGAAUAAGCCCGGACAAACUUCGUAGCCAGCAGCCGC